RNAcentral lists this long non-coding RNA (233 nucleotides) under Capsicum annuum. Its description in RNAcentral is "long non-coding RNA (CANN_LNC005102)". Lineage: Eukaryota; Viridiplantae; Streptophyta; Magnoliopsida; Solanales; Solanaceae. The record is from RNAcentral.
UAAAGUUCAAAAACCUCUUUUUCAUUAAAAAGUAUGAUUUCUAUAUUGUUGGGUGUUGAUGAUCAUGUUAUUGAUAUUGGAUGAUUCCUAAGAUUGAAUCCUUAUAUGUUUCUUUGAAUCUCAUGAUAUCAUAUGAGUUAGAAACAUGUAAAUUGGGUUGUUCAUGAUGUAUAAUUUGAUGAUUUCACCUAUGCUUAAGAUGUGCAUGUAAGGUAUUUGGUAAAAUGCCUAAG